Molecule: long non-coding RNA, 640 nt
Filed under: Sorghum bicolor (sorghum)
Lineage: Eukaryota; Viridiplantae; Streptophyta; Magnoliopsida; Poales; Poaceae
Description: long non-coding RNA (SBIC_LNC007059)
Source: RNAcentral
CAGGGAAAGGAGCGGGCCCGGCUGUCAGCCAACACAAGGAGGAGGAGAUGCGGCGCGCGCGGGGGCGAGCUGGGCCGCUCGCUGGGCCGAGUGAAGGGGGAGAGGCAAGCAGGCUAGGGAGGGGAAUGGGCCUCGGCCAGACCCAGGGGUUGUUUCCUUCUUUUUGUUUUCUUUUCUUUUCUUUUCUAUUUUCUUUUUCCAAAACAUUUUCCAAAUAGAACUCUUGAAAGCAAUUAAAUUCUAAUCAAAAGUCUCCCAGCACGAAAUAAAAUAUGCUCCAGCAUGAAAUGCAAAAUCACGUUUCUAAACUUAUGAUGGAUUUUAAUUUUCACCAAAUUAUUUAUUUGCUAGAUUCAAAUGCUAACAAAAAUACUUAAAUAAAGCCAAUUAAAUCCUAUUAAUUCAAAAGCAAAAUUUGGGUGUUACAAAUUCUACCCCCCUUAAAAGAAUCUCGUCCUCGAGAUUGAGCAGAACUUACUCAAACAAAUAUGAAUAUGAUUUUCUCAGAUCAUCCUCUCUUUCCCAAGUUGCCUCUGCUUCCGAAUACCGAUUCCACUGCACUUUGCACAUUCUAAUAACCCAACUUCUGGUGACUCUCUCAGCUGUCUCCAAAAUUCUGACCGGAUACUCUUCAUAAGUG